This 446-nucleotide ribosomal RNA is filed under the name uncultured Spirochaeta sp. Its description in RNAcentral is "bacterial SSU rRNA". It matches the Rfam family "Bacterial small subunit ribosomal RNA", at positions 933 to 1382 of the family's 1533-position model. Lineage: Bacteria; Pseudomonadati; Spirochaetota; Spirochaetia; Spirochaetales; Spirochaetaceae. The record is from RNAcentral.
UGGAGCAUGUGGUUUAAUUCGAUGGUACGCGAGGAACCUUACAGGGCUUGACAUACGCCGGAAGCGCAUCGAAAGGUGCGUGCCGCUUGCGGCCGGCGUACAGGUGCUGCAUGGCUGUCGUCAGCUCGUGCUGUGAAGUGUUGGGUUAAGUCCCGCAACGAGCGCAACCCCUGCUGCCUGUUGCCACCACGAGAGGUGGGGACUCAGGCGGGACCGCCGGUGACAAACCGGAGGAAGUGGGGACGACGUCAAGUCAUCAUGGCCCUUAUGUCCUGGGCUACACACGUGCUACAAUGGCCGGUACAGAGCGCAGCGAGGCCGCGAGGCGGAGCGAAUCGCUUAAAGCCGGUCCCAGUACGGAUUGGAGUCUGCAACCCGACUCCAUGAAGUUGGAAUCGCUAGUAAUCGCGCAUCAGCAUGGCGCGGUGAAUACGUUCCCGGGCCUU